AGCGAACGCUGGCGGCAGGCCUAACACAUGCAAGUCGAACGGAUCCUUCGGGAUUAGUGGCGGACGGGUGAGUAACACGUGGGAACGUGCCCUUUGGUUCGGAGCAACCAUGGGAAACUUGAGGUAAUACCGGAUGAGCCUUUCGGGGGCAAGAUGUAGCGCCAUUGGAGCGGCCCGCGUCUGAUUAGCUAGUUGGUGAGGUAAAGGAUCACCAAGGCGACGAUCAGUAGCUGGUCUGAGAGGAUGAUCAGCCACAUUGGGACUGAGACACGGCCCAAACUCCUACGGGAGGCAGCAGUGGGGAAUCUUGCGCAAUGGGCGAAAGCCUGACGCAGCCAUGCCGCGUGAAUGAUGAAGGUCUUAGGAUUGUAAAAUUCUUUCACCGGGGACGAUAAUGACGGUACCCGGAGAAGAAGCCCCGGCUAACUUCGUGCCAGCCGCCGCAGUAA
This 449-nucleotide ribosomal RNA is filed under the name uncultured bacterium. RNAcentral's name for it is "partial 16S ribosomal RNA". It matches the Rfam family "Bacterial small subunit ribosomal RNA", at positions 29 to 523 of the family's 1533-position model. The record is from RNAcentral.